RNAcentral lists this small RNA (884 nucleotides) under Histoplasma capsulatum. RNAcentral's name for it is "hypothetical RNA". The record is from RNAcentral. Lineage: Eukaryota; Fungi; Ascomycota; Eurotiomycetes; Onygenales; Ajellomycetaceae.
GUACACCUGCUCAGACCUCCAACAGUUUCUGCAAGGGGGCGCAAAGUUGCGAAAUGGAAUUUCAAUCCUCGAUCUCAAUCAUGUAGAAUUCGAAGUUGAACAGGUUUCAGCAAUUGCACACUUUAUUUUAUUUAUUAUUAUUAUUAUUAUUAUUAUUAUUAUUAUUAUUUUUCAGUUUCAUUCGACUAAUACUUGUAGUUUACAUGCUAGUCAUCUUUCAGUCUACAGCGUAUUUCACCUGAACAUUUACUUCUAGAGCGGGGGCAGGCUGGGAAGAGAAGGGAAUGAUCGACGGGGUCAAUGAGAGUGAUCCCAACGGCCCUUUGAUGACAACUACGAAGGUUUACCUAAUUCCGCCUUUUGGCAAUGAAUGAGAAUGUACAGUACAAACGCUAGAAUGGCUGCCGAACUAGGGAGAAGUUGAGGCGAAGGCUUUUAAUGUUGUAUGGUUGCAUGGUUGCUAGUUGUGUUAUACUUUCAUCUUAAAAUACAGAAUAACCCUGGAUAAACAGGGAAUCGGCUAUGAUACAAUAAUUUACAAUGUAAGUUUUGAAGAAGUAAGACAACAAUUAUUAACUGACUGGGGCAAAGGGAUUGGGGCCACAGGGCAAAGCACUGGGCAACCAAAUGGUGAUUAUCUGUUAUUAAAAGGGGUUUUCACAACACACUUGAUAGCUGAAUGUUUGACUUUGAAAAAAAAAAAAAAAAUAGCGAAUAAAAGAUAAACAAAUAAAUAAUAGUGAAAAAAAAAAUCACACUGUUGCAAGCUCAUGAAGUGCAUCACAAGAAACAGUUGGCUCAGCUCCACGUGUCUCAACAGACAAAUUUUUUCCCUGGGGCGCUAGGGGCUUCAGAGGGGACGAGGUAGGUGAAAUAGAUGAAGU